RNAcentral lists this long non-coding RNA (2329 nucleotides) under Bemisia tabaci. Its description in RNAcentral is "lncRNA ENSSWEETPG005376". The record is from RNAcentral. Lineage: Eukaryota; Metazoa; Arthropoda; Insecta; Hemiptera; Aleyrodidae.
AUUAGUCUUUCUAAAACACUCGGAAAAAUGGAAUCUUAAGGGCGGAUUUUUAAGUUACCUAUUUUGAAUGUUCAUGAGCCAUCAGCAUAGCAAAAGUUUCUGUCCGUCUAUUUUACAGCUCCGGUGUUAACAGUGUCUACGUAGUAAUGGGUAGAGCACUUGUUGGCCCAAGAGACCAUGCAGCCACCAUUUUUUGAGUGGUGCCUGAUUUCUCUCACUAAUCUACUCCUGACUUUCUGUUUACUUGCUAAUAUUGUACUUUAAAGCUGGGAGCUUCAGUCUGUUUUUGUUUUUUUAUUUUUGACAACUUAUCAAUUAGCUAGCGUCCAGCCCUUAGUUUAAUAAUAUGGGGCUCCUCUUCUAACGGUAGGAGACAAUGUCUAAUGGUCAACCCCUUGUAUGUUCACCAUACCCUUGAAAGGCCAUAGUAAAAAAAUGGGCGGUAGGUAGUUAGAUAAUUUUGAAGCAUUUGGCUCACCUGAAAAUUGAUACCUGUGAAAAGCUGUGAAAACAUGUAAAUCAGGACAGUAGAUUUAAAAUUAAAAGUGAUAAUUCAUGAAAAUUUCAGUAAUCAAAAAGCUGAUGGUGAAGAUGUCAGCUAUGAAGCAGCCACCUUGUUUAUGUAGACAGUGAGACCCUGGAAAACAAGUGUCUUGAUUGGAGCAUACCAGAAAUUCUGGUGUGAAACUUUUUGAAAAAUUUCUCAAAGGGAAAUGAUUUACCGCAAGAAAUUUUGUGUAAUACUCAUAAUCAAUAAGUCUUUUACAAACUAAAAUGUGAUUUUUAGUUAUGGUUUAAUGUGUAUUUACGGGUGAUCCGUGAUUGGAGAAGCAGACCCCUUAGAAUUUUCCACUUCACCAUGCACUAAUUUUUUACCAUCGUUUUGUAACAUAUUUUUUUUUUGCUCCUCCAGAAGAAAAAUAGCAACGUUAUCAAAAGGCGAUUUAAAAUUGCUGCAAACUCACGCAGAAGAUUUUAUGGGUGAAGCAGGUGAAGAAGAUGAGGAAAAUGGACUAUCUGGUUCUGAUGCCUUUGUGAUACAAAACAACAAUGCAAUGCUGUCACCUCUUAAUCAAGAUGUAACGUCACCUGGAGUCAUUCGAACUGCUAAAGCUGAAAAACGGAUGAAAAAUCGACUGAUUCAAGAUGUAAGUUUUCUGUUACACAUUGGUUUGUCUCACUCAUCGGCAUGCUCAACAUAAAUGCAUAUUUUUAGGCAUAUUUUGAAACUUUGAACAUCUUUGAAAGCUGUUUUCUCAUCUAAAAUUUGAUGAAGUGAAUUGCGGAAAAAAUGUAGGUAUUCUCAUUUGUUAUCAACUUGCCCAAAAUACAUUUUUAAAAUGAACUGCAGCCGUCUAGUUGUUUUGCUCUAAAAUUUAGGCAGCCCUUCUAUUUCUGGGAAACUUCCUCAAAUUUUAAUAAAAAAUUAUGUAACUGCAAUCAUGCUUUAGAUCAAAGUUACUUGGUUUAAAUAAAUUAUAUCUAGCCCUCUUUAAUGUGAUUGAUUUUGUUGACAGGGCUUGCUUACUGAUGAGGAAUUAGAUAAGGAGCUGUCGCGUGCAGAACAAAGAGCUCUCAAUGCUGAAAAACGAGCUGCGUGGAGGCAAGCUCGUUUAAAAUCUCUUGAGCAGGUCAGUUCGUCUUUAUUUUUUUCUUUGUCAGCAAGAAUGCAACUGCGCUGUACAGUAAUGUGAAAAUUAAAGAUUGGCAAUUGCAGAGAGUCAGAAUUAUGCUAGGGGAGAAUGGUCCCUCAAUUUUAAGAGAACACUGUGCCCUUAAUCUAUCAAAACUGUUCGGAAAGACUAAACCAAUCAUUAUUUCCUCCAUCAAUCAUCGCUAAGUCCACCGCAAUCAGUUUCUGUAUCUCCUCCUUGUCAUAUGUAAGCCAGCCAGUUUUUCCCUACACAAUUUGGGGCAAGGUUUUGUUUUAAAGUCUAUCAAGAUGUUUUUCUGUCUCGGUAACAUUCAAAGUGUUCAUUUUUCUCCUCAAAGAGGAAAACAAGGUAUUACAUAGGCCGAUCUAUGAUUACUGUAAGAAGAUUAUCAUAUAUUUGUAUUACAUGCCUUCUGCCUUAAAUUUAAACUGUACAGUCAACAAUCGCCGCAAAAUUAUUUAGUGUAAAUAAAUUCAACUUUUUAUUUCUUUAUCUAACCACCAAUUGACUGGAGAGACAAUUUUCAUUGGUUAAUGAAAACCACGGCAAAUCUCAGUGUUUGUGACUUAUUUUAAAACAACCGGUAGUAUUUUUUUUAAUUCUGUCUGAAUUGCAAAACUAAUUAUUGAUCCUCUGACAUACUUUAUUUUAGGAUGCUUUACAAGCUCAGAUUG